Molecule: unclassified non-coding RNA, 547 nt
Filed under: Zea mays
Lineage: Eukaryota; Viridiplantae; Streptophyta; Magnoliopsida; Poales; Poaceae
Description: misc RNA Zm00001eb371660
Source: RNAcentral
CCCUCCUCCGCCGUUUCGCCUCUCUCCACUUUCCCCGUCCUUCGCCGUCGCGGCCGCGUCCUAGUCUAGUCUGAUGGCCAGCCGCUGGGUCCGACCCGAGGUGUACCCGCUGUUCGCGGCGAUGGGAGUUGCCGUUGGCAUCUGCGGGUUUCAGCUCUUCCGGAACAUCACCGGCAACCCGGAAGUCAGGGUAAACAAGGCAGGGAGGGCAGCCGGCGUGCUUGAGAACCAUGAGGAGGGGAGGCGUUACGCCAUGCAUGGCCUCAGAAGCUUUGUGCACGACAAGACCCCCGAGAUCAUGCCAGCUAUCAACAAGUUCUUUACUGACCCCAAGUGAAGCAAAGCAGCUUUGGUUGGCCGCUGAUGACGAUGGUUCUGCUACUAGUUGCCCUUGGGGAUUGUGUACCCUUUUUAUGGCAAUUCGAUAUGUGAAUGAGUUCGACGGUCCCUGUUUGUUCCUCGUACUCACCUGUCAUGUGGAUUUGAUGCACUUAAGUGAUAAAACUGUCAGCCAACGUUCAUUACAAGUGGAUUUUUGCAAACUGGU